RNAcentral lists this transfer-messenger RNA (349 nucleotides) under Bacilli. RNAcentral's name for it is "Coprosoma sp900318075 Standard tmRNA". It matches the Rfam family "transfer-messenger RNA". From Rfam's summary of the family: Bacterial tmRNA, also known as 10Sa RNA or SsrA, is named for its dual tRNA and mRNA-like properties. Its role is to liberate the mRNA from a stalled ribosome. To accomplish this part of the tmRNA is used as a reading frame that ends in a translation stop signal. RNAcentral also lists the same sequence under 1 other name. The record is from RNAcentral. Lineage: Bacteria; Bacillati; Bacillota.
GGGCUCGUUUUGGUUUCGACAGAAAUAUGGAGAUUUAAACUGCAAGUCGGAGGGACACGUUAAGUCCAAACUUAAAAAUAACUGGAAACAGAAAUAAUUUAGUACCUUCAUUUGCCUAAGUUGGCUUGGUACACUUCUUUAAUCUUUUAGCUCACGAGAGAUUUUAGAGGUUCGCUUUAGUGAGAUAUAUCAUUAUUUUGCCUAGGGAUAAUGAUGAAUUUUAUAGGCUUACUAAUAAAGUAGUUGUUAGUUACUAAUCUUUAUUAGAAAAUCUUAUAACUAACUAAACUUGUAGAUGUUUUCUUUGAAGUAUUUUUGGACAGGAGUUCAAUUCUCCUCGGGUCCACCA